CACAAGGCAUCAGGUACUGCAAAUCUGCUACGCCAGGAAGUGUGCCAGCUGAAGGCAUGCAAGGGUGCUGAUAUUUCGCAAGCAUGGCAACAAAUGCUGUCCGUCAUCGCAACAGCUAUUCCCGAAGUGAAAAUCAAUUGUGAAGAUUUGGAAGUUACAUCUGCAGUGCUAGCGAAUCUGAUAAGCUACCUGCAUGCCACGGAAAGCGUCAAUAGCACCAUCCAAAGCUGCUGAAGCCAUCCCCGAACCGGUGAUUGACAAUUUGUCUCACCUUGCUGAAAAGUACCAUGGUGGUUGGUGCUUGGUGGCCGUGCGGCGUGCACUGGAAGGAGCAAGGUGUCGCAACGACAACUUGCUGCAGCUUAUACCUUUAUUUGGCAAGGAUGCCGUGACAAGCCUUCAGCCUUGUUUGGAGAAUUCAGGUGGCCCGGCGUGGCUCGGAAGCUCUGUAUAAGACACCAUACGUCACAGAUAAAAACAACUGAACCAGUGAUAUGUGAAUUUUGCGCUUGUGUGUGUGUGUGUGUGUGUGUGUGUGUGUGUGUGUGUGUGUGUGUGUGUGUGUGUGUGUGUGUGUGUGUGUGUGUGUGUGUGUGUGUGCUUCUGUGAUAAGUGGUAUAAGCAGUCCACAGGGUAUUCACCUUGAGUGCAUUCGCCGAUAGUGUGACUUUCGUCGCACAGAACCUUCUUCAGUUGGUCAGGUGACUCGGCGUGGCUCGGAAGCUCUGUAUAAGACAAAAUACGACACAGAUAAAAACAACUGAACCAGUGA
This is a long non-coding RNA of Sycon ciliatum, 772 nucleotides long. RefSeq lists it as uncharacterized. The record is from RefSeq and is a predicted model, not a curated record. Lineage: Eukaryota; Metazoa; Porifera; Calcarea; Leucosolenida; Sycettidae. The transcript is spliced from 2 exons.